GGAUGGAUCAUUAAGAGGUUAGCAAACAUCCCUGUUUGACAAACCACUGUGGUACGAUGCAUGUUGUUUUGGCGGCGUGGUGUGCGUGCAAGCGCGCAUGCGCCGCCAGCAUACAAACCCAAUCAAUCAAUUUAUACUACUCAGCUGUUCUGAUUACACUAUUUCGAUAGCAUAAUCCUAUACAACUGCUAGCAACGGAUCACUCGGCUCUCGCGUCGAUGAAGAACGUAGCAAAGUGCGAAAAUUAAUGCAACACGCAACACGUGAGUCAUCGAGUCUUUGAACGCAUAUUGCACCCGACAGGCUCGCUUGUCGGGUCUGCCUGUUUGAGUAUCAGUUUAACCCCAACAGCCGGCGGUGCUUGUGUAAAAGCAGGCGCCGGCAGCUUGUUGGUGCUCGCGGCGCGCAUUCGUGUGUGCGGCGGAUCUGGGACUUCGGGGUUUCGCGCCCUGUGUCCUGAAAUGCAUUGGCCGACCGGCGCAUCAACCCAACGUGUUGUGCUCGGACCGAACCGAUUAGCAAUGUUAAUCAUCUGCAAAGGUGUCUUUGUUAACGCGGCGCGGUUAUUCCAAACGAGUGCAGCCUGAUGUCCACGCGUGCCACCCUGCACGCUGGCUGCCCUGUGGCGGCGAGCGUACACUUUCAAACCUUGAUCUCAAAUCAGGCAGGAUGACCCGCUGAAUUUAAGCAUAUCAGUAAGCGGAGGAAAAGAAACUAACCAGGAUUCCCUUAGUAACGGCGAGUGAAGCGGGAACAGCCCAAUCUGAAAAGCUGGCCGGCCCCGGCGCCGGACCCGCGUUGUAGGUUGAUGAAGCGUUGCCUAGCAGCAGACCUUUCGGCCAAAGUCUCUUGGAACAGAGCGUCAUAGAGGGUGAAAACCCCGUGUGUGGUCGGACGACAUCACAGUCUGUUGCGCCGAUGGUGCGUUUUCUUAGAGUCGGAAUGUUUGGGAUUGCAUUCCAAAGUGGGUGGUAAACUCCAUCUAAGGCUAAAUACUGGCGAGAGACCGAUAGCGAACAAGUACCGUGAGGGAAAGUUGAAAAGCACUCUGGAGAGAGAGUCAAACAGUACGUGAAAUUGCUAGCAGGGAAACGUUGGGCACCAGUACGCGGCGAUCAAUGUCGAUGAUCAGCCGGCCGGUGCGGCGGCGAUUGCGCGGUGCAUCCGCUUCGGGGACGGCCCUAGGGUCGCCCACGCGCAGUCGCUAGCUGUUCGGGCCGGUGCACUCUUCGACAGCCGGGUCAACAUCGGUUGCCGGCGUCCGACAAGCAGUUGGGCAAGGUAGCAGCCGGACAGUCCUUGCGGCUGUCCAGCUGAACUUAUAGGCCUGGCAUGCGAGGACGGCGGCGACCGAGGAGGCAUCGCGGUGCGCGCAUCCCCCCGGGGGUGCAGGGCGCACCGGCGCGGUUGAGGUUGCCCGUGGCGCUGGACAGCUUGCUGACCAGGGUUCAUUUUAGCACGCUUCGGCGUGUUAGCGGCGGCCGCUGCGCCGGUGCAAGCCACUAGCGCGCCCAUGACGGUUGACGAAAUGGUUCUCAACGACCCGUCUUGAAACACGGACCAAGGAGUCUAACAUGUCUGCGAGUGUUUGGGUGGAAAACCCGAACGCGGAAUGAAAGUAACGAGGUGGGUUGCGUACCCACCCGCUGGUAGGAACCGGGCGGCUGCGGCUGCCCGGCGCACUAUCGACCGACCUGUUGCCCUCCGUGGCGGUAGGUUUGAGUUGGAGCAGUCCUGUUAGGACCCGAAAGAUGGUGAACUAUGCCUGAGCAGGAUGAAGCCAGAGGAAACUCUGGUGGAGGUCCGUAGCGGUUCUGACGUGCAAAUCGAUCGUCGGACUUGGGUAUAGGGGCGAAAGACUAAUCGAACCAUCUAGUAGCUGGUUCCUGC
This 1890-nucleotide unclassified non-coding RNA is filed under the name uncultured fungus. Its description in RNAcentral is "sequence contains 18S rRNA gene, ITS1, 5.8S rRNA gene, ITS2, 28S rRNA gene". The stretch from base 651 to 1890 matches the Rfam family "Eukaryotic large subunit ribosomal RNA", at positions 1 to 961 of the family's 3401-position model. Lineage: Eukaryota; Fungi. The record is from RNAcentral.